UGGGGAAUAUUGGACAAUGGGGGCAACCCUGAUCCAGCCAUGCCGCGUGUGUGAAGAAGGCCUUUUGGUUGUAAAGCACUUUAAGCAGUGAAGAAGACUCCAUGGUUAAUACCCAUGGACGAUGACAUUAGCUGCAGAAUAAGCACCGGCUAACUCUGUGCCAGCAGCCGCGGUAAUACAGAGGGUGCAAGCGUUAAUCGGAAUUACUGGGCGUAAAGCGAGCGUAGGUGGCUUGAUAAGUCAGAUGUGAAAGCCCCGGGCUUAACCUGGGAACGGCAUCUGAUACUGUUAGGCUAGAGUAGGUGAGAGGAAGGUAGAAUUCCAGGUGUAGCGGUGAAAUGCGUAGAGAUCUGGAGGAAUACCGAUGGCGAAGGCAGCCUUCUGGCAUCGUACUGACACUGAGGUUCGAAAGCGUGGGUAGCAAACA
This 427-nucleotide ribosomal RNA is filed under the name uncultured bacterium. RNAcentral describes it as "partial 16S ribosomal RNA". It matches the Rfam family "Bacterial small subunit ribosomal RNA", at positions 355 to 774 of the family's 1533-position model. The record is from RNAcentral.